Molecule: long non-coding RNA, 422 nt
Filed under: Medicago truncatula (barrel medic)
Lineage: Eukaryota; Viridiplantae; Streptophyta; Magnoliopsida; Fabales; Fabaceae
Description: long non-coding RNA (MTRU_LNC006916)
Source: RNAcentral
CGGGUACUAGCUUUGUAAGUUAAAAAUUAGAUUUGAGAAAAAUAAAUAAUCGUGCCCUUGUGUGUUUCCCUUCUAGUUGGUGGUGGUUGAUGUCUCCUCACUAAGUCUUUGUGACUUACCCCUUCUUCUUACAUUUUUUUCAGAUUCAAAGUCAAGUGCGUAGAAAGUUUGUAGCAGAGUUAAAGAUAUAUCAGUGUCAUUCUUUUGGUAGGUCUCCUAUGUGUAUGAACUGAAUUGUCGAUGUAUCUGCAGCUAUUGGUAGUCUAGAAAUGUUUUGUUUUGAAUUGUAUAAACAUCUAGUUAUGUCACUUUGAGAUUCUGCUGAUAAUACAAGUAUAUAGACAGAAUUCAUAUCUUGGAUAGUAUUAAAAAUUCAAAGGACACUCUGUCGAAAUUUCAUUGGAUAUCAUUUUAAGUGUAAG